This 121-nucleotide small RNA is filed under the name Brevibacillus massiliensis. RNAcentral describes it as "ydaO/yuaA leader". It matches the Rfam family "c-di-AMP riboswitch aptamer (ydaO/yuaA leader)". From Rfam's summary of the family: This family represents a conserved RNA structure found upstream of the ydaO and yuaA genes in Bacillus subtilis and related genes in other bacteria. The ydaO/yuaA element is thought to act as a genetic "off" switch for the ydaO and yuaA genes in its native state. Lineage: Bacteria; Bacillati; Bacillota; Bacilli; Caryophanales; Paenibacillaceae. The record is from RNAcentral.
AAAAAAGCCGAGUUCCAUGGUGGAAACGGGGGAACCAAUGUUUUGGGGUGAGUAGCUGUUUCGACAGUUUAGGGAAUCCUUUCGCCCGAACCCUUCAGCUAACCUCGUAGGCUUGAGAAAG